Molecule: transfer RNA, 516 nt
Filed under: Salileptolyngbya diazotrophicum SCSIO 43686
Lineage: Bacteria; Bacillati; Cyanobacteriota; Cyanophyceae; Nodosilineales; Nodosilineaceae
Description: partial contains 16S ribosomal RNA and 16S-23S ribosomal RNA intergenic spacer
Rfam family: tRNA (bases 225-297)
Source: RNAcentral
CCGGAAGGUGUGGCUGGAUCACCUCCUUUUAGGGAGACCUUACCUGUUUUUUUCAAGCAAUAAGAUUCGCUGAGGGAAACGAGGUCAUCUCAAGGUCGGUCAGGACCUGAUUAGGGUUGGCUUUCAAUAUUUGUCGAGAAUUAUGGGCUAUUAGCUCAGGUGGUUAGAGCGCACCCCUGAUAAGGGUGAGGUCCCUGGUUCGAGUCCAGGAUGGCCCACUGAGUGGGGGUAUAGCUCAGCUGGUAGAGCGCCUGCUUUGCAAGCAGGAUGUCAGCGGUUCGAGUCCGCUUACCUCCACCACGAAAGGUUAUGGGAGAGUGCAGCAAGAUGAUGGAGACGUUAUCCUGCUGUGUUCUGAGGAACAUAGCGAGACCCUUGACAACUGCAUAGAGCAACGAGAGUCAAAAGGUAGUUGAAGACAAAUCUUAUUUCGAUAGAUUGAGAGAAGGUCAAGCUACAAAGGGCUCACGGUGGAUACCUAGGCACACAGAGGCGAAGAAUCUCUAGAGGAUCCCC